CCAGGGCGUGCAGCAGUGUGCGGCACCUGAAGAGACCUCGCCGUGGAGAAGCAGCAGCGCCGAGCCGAUGGAGCGGCCGUGUCUGCAGGCGCACGGAGAGCCUCGUGGCUGAGUUGCCCCUGCAACUCUCUUAAAAGAGCGAUCACUGAGGGUGUUGUUGAGCCUUCGGAGCAUAGGGCGCCUUUUUGAAGGCGACCGGCUCCCGGAUGGUCUCAGCUCCCGAAGAGGCUCCGCGGCCGGGCUGGAGCAGGCAGCGGGCGCGGGCCGAAGGUCCAGAGCUUUGUGUGAGGCAGCAGCAGCAUCGCGGGAGGUGAAGCUGGAUGUCGACGUUGGAGGUGACGUGUGCCCGGUGAGCCGUGAGCGCUAGCCAGAAGCCGUUGCUGUCGCUGAAGUCUGACUCGGUGGUGCCAGUCUAAGCCUCCAGGACGGUGCGUUUUAAGCAAUCUCCUGCCAAGAUGCCGAACUUGUCUCAGCAGCCGAUGAGAGUUUGUCUGCCUGUGAUGCCAUUCCUUGAAGGAAGGGGAGAAUGUUUGAGCUUCUGGGCCACCGUGCAUCUUUUGGAGCUUGUCAGCCCAUCGGUUUCCUACGGCUUCCUCCUCCGAGUCUCCUGAUGGGAAAGUAAACCGAGUAUGCAAGAGGAGCCAAGUGUGUUUUGAGAGUUUCCUUCUGUUUUGUUUCCCAAGCUUUUUUCCCCAUUCCUUUAGGAGGUGUUAAUAAAGUUAUUCUUUUUCCACAUGGACCUUCCCUUGUUUCACGUUCUUCAGUUGAAAAAGAGAGUUUGCCUGCCCGUGAUGCCGUUCCUUGAAGGAAGGGGAAAAUGUUAGAGCCGUCUGGCCACCGUGCAUCUGUUGGAGCUUUUCAGCCCGUCGGUUUCCUACGGCCUCCUGCGAGUCCCCUGUUGGGACCUUGGAGGGAUUUUUGA
Molecule: long non-coding RNA, 922 nt
Organism: Hirundo rustica (Barn swallow)
Lineage: Eukaryota; Metazoa; Chordata; Aves; Passeriformes; Hirundinidae
Exons: 6
Source: RefSeq, a predicted model, not a curated record